CGGGAGUAAUGUCUGGGAAACUGCCUGAUGGAGGGGGAUAACUACUGGAAACGGUAGCUAAUACCGCAUAACGUCACAAGACCAAAGUGGGGGACCUUCGGGCCUCAUGCCAUCAGAUGUGCCCAGAUGGGAUUAGCUAGUAGGUGGGGUAACGGCUCACCUAGGCGACGAUCCCUAGCUGGUCUGAGAGGAUGACCAGCCACACUGGAACUGAGACACGGUCCAG
Molecule: ribosomal RNA, 226 nt
Filed under: uncultured bacterium
Lineage: Bacteria
Description: partial 16S ribosomal RNA
Rfam family: Bacterial small subunit ribosomal RNA
Source: RNAcentral